This is a long non-coding RNA of Populus nigra (black poplar), 884 nucleotides long. RefSeq lists it as uncharacterized. NCBI's taxonomy places the organism in Eukaryota, Viridiplantae, Streptophyta, Magnoliopsida, Malpighiales, Salicaceae. The record is from RefSeq and is a predicted model, not a curated record. The transcript has 3 exons.
UAGGCAUUUAUUCUUUCUCUCUUUCCCUUCUUUUUUUUCUCUCCACCUCGGUUUCUACGCAUUUAAUUAUGAUCAUUCUCCCACUACAGUUAGAGAUAGUUGUGUUCCUGGCUUACAGGAGUCUGCAGCAAUUUGCAUCCAUGAUUUGCUCUCAUGUGUCCCAGCACUUUCCCUUUUUCUUCAUGUUGAAUCACAAUCUAAGACAAAAUUCUUUGUUCCUGAAAUUUCAUAAUCCUCCAACGUCUCUCCACAUAUUACGUUGUCCUGUUGCUUGCUGAUAUUCUGAGGAAAGUUUGUUGUUGCUGAAAUUUUGUCUGUUGCUUCUGGGAUUUUACAGGCUCCAACGUCUCUCUAUAAACUACGUGCUGUUGUCGGUUGCUGAGCUGAGCAGGAUUUGUUGCUCCUGGGAUUUCGUUAGAAUCCAACAUCUUGCCAUAAAUAAUGCUGUCUUGUUUGCUGGGCUGGAUGCUGGACUCAUGGUUUAGUGAAGAGGUCUGCGAUUUGAUCAGUGAUGGAGAUGUGUUUGCAGUGUAUGUGUUUGCUGUGAUGAUCACCAAGCAAAUUUAAAACAGUUUGGACCAAGAUUCUUUGGGAAAAAAUGAUUAAGUCAUCUGUUCGAAGGAGGAAGAAAAGAAAAAAAAUCUUAUAUUCAAACAUUUUCUUUCUGGUGCCAAGGAGUUGGGGGGUUAGGCCAAUAAGGUGGAACGUUGUCUGGUGCCUCAUCUAUCCUUCUGUGCCACUCUCGUCUGAUUCAGGGUCCAAGAGCAAAUCAAGCAAUCAGAGAAGGAGCAACACAACAAAAACAAUGCAGCUUUCAAGAAGCAUGGUGGAGGUCAUUCCUCUUUAAAGUAACAGUGCUUUUACAUGGCGAGUGACAUUCUUUC